GGGGGACCUUCGGGCCUCUCGCGUCAGGAUAUGCCUAGGUGGGAUUAGCUAGUUGGUGAGGUAAGGGCUCACCAAGGCGACGAUCCCUAGCUGGUCUGAGAGGAUGAUCAGCCACACUGGAACUGAGACACGGUCCAGACUCCUACGGGAGGCAGCAGUGGGGAAUAUUGCACAAUGGGCGCAAGCCUGAUGCAGCCAUGCCGCGUGUGUGAAGAAGGCCUUCGGGUUGUAAAGCACUUUCAGUCGUGAGGAAGGUAGUGU
Molecule: ribosomal RNA, 261 nt
Filed under: Vibrio parahaemolyticus
Lineage: Bacteria; Pseudomonadati; Pseudomonadota; Gammaproteobacteria; Vibrionales; Vibrionaceae
Description: partial 16S ribosomal RNA
Rfam family: Bacterial small subunit ribosomal RNA
Source: RNAcentral